This 253-nucleotide ribosomal RNA is filed under the name uncultured bacterium. Its description in RNAcentral is "partial 16S ribosomal RNA". It matches the Rfam family "Bacterial small subunit ribosomal RNA", at positions 524 to 776 of the family's 1533-position model. The record is from RNAcentral.
UACGAGGGGGGCAAGCGUUGUUCGGAUUUAUUGGGCGUAAAGGGCGCGUAGGCGGCGGGGUAAGUCUGGUGUGAAAUCUCGGAGCUCAACUCCGAAAUUGCACUGGAUACUGCUCUGCUAGAGGGCUGGAGAGGAGAUCGGAAUUCACGGUGUAGCAGUGAAAUGCGUAGAUAUCGUGAGGAAGACCAGUGGCGAAGGCGGAUCUCUGGACAGCUCCUGACGCUGAGGCGCGAAGGCUAGGGGAGCAAACGGG